AUAUCAAAAUCUGAGCAAACAACUUGAUGUCAAAAGAAUCUCUGCACAUUCCGCAGUCUUUGCUGCUAAAGUGACAUCACAGCAUUUAAGCAUGUUUGAAUGAAAACAUCAGCAUAUGAACACAAAACUGAAGAGACACUGCAACCGAAUGAAAGCAGACCACUAUUUAGUGACAUUUGGACGUUUCCCUGAGGAUUAACUGCUGUGUAAUCUACCAAGAACUAAAUCAAAAUGAGUGCAAGUGGAGACGGACCACAAAAUAACCAAAACGGCCAACAGGUUAACCCACGAAUGUUGGCAAAUGGAGAUCAGGAACCUGCUAAUGGCUUCCUGAACGAUCUGUAUC
Non-coding RNA from Maylandia zebra (zebra mbuna), 346 nucleotides. The record is from RefSeq and is a predicted model, not a curated record. NCBI's taxonomy places the organism in Eukaryota, Metazoa, Chordata, Actinopteri, Cichliformes, Cichlidae.